This 229-nucleotide ribosomal RNA is filed under the name uncultured bacterium. RNAcentral's name for it is "partial 16S ribosomal RNA". It matches the Rfam family "Bacterial small subunit ribosomal RNA", at positions 568 to 796 of the family's 1533-position model. The record is from RNAcentral.
UGCGUAGGCGGUGUUAUUAGUCGGGUGUUAAAUCCUGGGGCUCAACCCCAGACUCGCAUUCGAAACGGUAACACUAGAAGAAGUAAGAGGUGAGCAGAACUCUCGGUGUAGGGGUGAAAUCCGUUGAUAUCGAGGGGAAUACCAAAUGCGAAGGCAGCUCACUGGUACUCUCUUGACGCUGAGGCACGAAAGCAUGGGUAGCGAACAGGAUUAGAUACCCUGGUAGUCC